This 78-nucleotide non-coding RNA is filed under the name Escherichia coli. RNAcentral's name for it is "Nucleoid-associated noncoding RNA 4 (CssrE)". It matches the Rfam family "Nucleoid-associated noncoding RNA 4 (CssrE)". From Rfam's summary of the family: In E. coli small RNA transcribed from repeated extragenic palindromic element (REP325) called nucleoid-associated ncRNA 4 (nRNA4) collaborates HU protein in condensing the DNA. The secondary structure but not the sequence of the RNA is important in nucleoid condensation. Lineage: Bacteria; Pseudomonadati; Pseudomonadota; Gammaproteobacteria; Enterobacterales; Enterobacteriaceae. The record is from RNAcentral.
GGCCGGAUAAGGCGUUAACGCCGCAUCCGGCAAUGGUGAACGAUGCCUGAUACGACGCAUCACGCGUCUUAUCAGGCC